CUUUGUUCUUAGUAUUUAAUAUAUACAUGAUCUCAUGUUAAAAAAAAUCCUUACAAUGGUGAUUGGAAGAAAAUACUCUAUCCUUGUUUUUCAGAUAAGUAAACAGAAAGAUACAGGUUUCAUAAUUUGCUCAAGGGAAAGCAAAUAACAAGCAACAAACCUGGGAACCAAACUCAGGAAAUAUGCUCCAAAUCUGGGCCCAUGGCUGCUGUGCUCUGCCAGUGCUGCUGUUCUUUCAUCCCAAUAUUUAUUGGCAAAGAAGCUUCUUUUACAUCAUGGUACCGUGGAUCCUGUCUUUAAGAUAAACAAGCUAACAAACAAAACACUGAAGUGUUUUUCAACCGUGCAGAAAAGAUAAAAUCUCAGAAACAAAAAAUACAAUUGUCUAAGAUCCCGGCAGACUGGGAAGAUCUUGCCUGUGAUGGAUUGCGUUAGAAUGUGGAAAGAGAAAUACCACGCAUUGUUCUGCAGCAUUUUUCUUUUAGCUGCCCCUUUGCCAUUUCUUUAAUGUUUGCCUUAUAUUAAUAGUGACUGAUACGUAAUAAUCAACAGACUUGUGCUGUAAAUCCAAAGAGAAAACUGCAAAGAAUUUAAAGAUUUGGCCUCAUAUAUAAUUCUGUCAGAUAAAUGGAAAAGAGCCAAAGAAGUGAAAUAAAAUUAAAGGAAUACUGCAGUUAAAUUUUAUGCAUUAUGACUUUAUGUAAUAUUUUGGCUGAAAGAUGUAUGAAAAUAUACAAAAAAAAAUACACAGAACUUACCUGUCAGCCUAUGUGAAUUGCUGGCAAGUGCCACUGAGAAGCAAAAGAGAAACAACAUAAGUUAUUAUAAUCACUGUCAUCAUCAAGAUUCAUGUGUUAAGUUCACAUAUUUUCAUUGCAUUGGGUUAAAUGUGUUAAAAGUAAAUUAAAUAGGCAUGAUCCCUGUCGUAUAGGAACUUAUGAUUUAAGACAGACUACGACCAAGACAAAUGUAAGAGAGCAUAGACAAGUAUAUGCACCUCAAAGAAAGACAUAAAUUGAAUGAAUGAAAGAAUAAAUAAACUAAAUCCUUUCUAUUGUUUAUAAAUUGUAAGUUGAGACAAAGGGGACUGGCAAUGUCCCUGGCAUGUUCUGAAUUUGGAGUUUAACCACCAGUUGGUCUCAAAAGAAUGAUUUUGAAGAUAUAUUGCUUCAAUAAUGGUGGAAAAUAAUCUCAGCAAAUUACAGGUUUAGAAAGUUAGAACAUAAGAGAUUCUGAACCAAGAUUUAGGAAGCUUUGCUUUGCCCAUGGAUAGAUUCUUAAAUAAGGAUUUCAUAUAUCAUGGGCUCAUAUUUUAGCAGGCAGAAUGACUCUGGACUAUUUCAAAGAAAGAAGUAAUGUGAUGAAAAU
This 1368-nucleotide long non-coding RNA is filed under the name Callithrix jacchus (white-tufted-ear marmoset). RNAcentral describes it as "lncRNA (ENSCJAG00000076033.1)". The record is from RNAcentral. Lineage: Eukaryota; Metazoa; Chordata; Mammalia; Primates; Cebidae.